AACCUGCCUGGUAGCGGGGGAUAACUAUUGGAAACGAUAGCUAAUACCGCAUAACAGUAGAUGUUGCAUGACAUUUGCUUAAAAGGUGCAAUUGCAUCACUACCAGAUGGACCUGCGUUGUAUUAGCUAGUUGGUGGGGUAACGGCUCACCAAGGCGACGAUACAUAGCCGACCUGAGAGGGUGAUCGGCCACACUGGGACUGAGACACGGCCCAGACUCCUACGGGAGGCAGCAGUAGGGAAUCUUCGGCAAUGGACGGAAGUCUGACCGAGCAACGCCGCGUGAGUGAAGAAGGUUUUCGGAUCGUAAAGCUCUGUUGUAAGAGAAGAACGAGUGUGAGAGUGGAAAGUUCACACUGUGACGGUAUCUUACCAGAAAGGGACGGCUAACUACGUGCCAGCAGCCGCGGUAAUACGUAGGUCCCGAGCGUUGUCCGGAUUUAUUGGGCGUAAAGCGAGCGCAGGCGGUUAGAUAAGUCUGAGGUUAAAGGCUGUGGCUUAACCAUAGUACGCUUUGGAAACUGUUUAACUUGAGUGCAAGAGGGGAGAGUGGAAUUCCAUGUGUAGCGGUGAAAUGCGUAGAUAUAUGGAGGAACACCGGUGGCGAA
This 608-nucleotide ribosomal RNA is filed under the name uncultured Bacilli bacterium. RNAcentral describes it as "bacterial SSU rRNA". It matches the Rfam family "Bacterial small subunit ribosomal RNA", at positions 123 to 719 of the family's 1533-position model. Lineage: Bacteria; Bacillati; Bacillota; Bacilli. The record is from RNAcentral.